RNAcentral lists this ribosomal RNA (482 nucleotides) under uncultured bacterium. RNAcentral describes it as "partial 16S ribosomal RNA". It matches the Rfam family "Bacterial small subunit ribosomal RNA", at positions 28 to 523 of the family's 1533-position model. The record is from RNAcentral.
GACGAACGCUGGCGGCGUGCUUAACACAUGCAAGUCGAACGGUGACGAGCAGCUUGCUGCUCUGAUCAGUGGCGAACGGGUGAGUAACACGUGAGCAACCUACCCUUGACUCUGGGAUAACAGCUGGAAACAGCUGCUAAUACCGGAUAUGACCUCGACCGACAUCAGUUGAGGUGGCAAGUUCUGGCGGUCAAGGAUGGGCUCGCGGCCUAUCAGCUAGUUGGUGAGGUAACGGCUCACCAAGGCUUCGACGGGUAGCCGGCCUGAGAGGGCGACCGGCCACACUGGGACUGAGAUACGGCCCAGACUCCUACGGGAGGCAGCAGUGGGGAAUAUUGCACAAUGGGCGAAAGCCUGAUGCAGCAACGCCGCGUGCGGGAUGACGGCCUUCGGGUUGUAAACCGCUUUCAGCUCCGACGAAGCGCAAGUGACGGUAAGAGCAGAAGAAGGACCGGCCAACUACGUGCCAGCCGCCGCCGUAA